GAUGAACGCUGGCGGCGUGCCUAAUACAUGCAAGUCGAGCGAACGGACGAGAAGCUUGCUUCUCUGAUGUUAGCGGCGGACGGGUGAGUAACACGUGUAUAACCUACCUAUCAGACUGGGAUAACUUCGGGACACCGGCGCUAAUACCGGAUAAUAUUUUGAACCGCAUUGUUCAAAAGUGAAAGACGGUCUUGCUGUCACUUCUAGCUGGAUCCGCGCUGCAUUAGCUAGUUGGUAAGGUAACGGCUUACCAAGGCAACGAUGCAUAGCCGACCGGAGAGGGGGGUAGGCCACAUGGGAAGUGAGACAGGGUCAAGACGCCUACGGGAGGCAGCAGUAGGGAAUCGUCCGCAAUGGGCGAAAGCCUGACGGAGCAACGCCGCGUGAGUGAUGAAGGCGUUCGGAUCGUAAAACUCUGUUAUUAGGGAAGAACAUAUGUGGAAGUAACUGUGCACAUCUUGACGGUACCUAAUCAGAAAGCCACGGCUAACUACGUG
This 497-nucleotide ribosomal RNA is filed under the name uncultured bacterium. Its description in RNAcentral is "partial 16S ribosomal RNA". It matches the Rfam family "Bacterial small subunit ribosomal RNA", at positions 28 to 507 of the family's 1533-position model. The record is from RNAcentral.